UACGGGGGGGGCAAGCGUUGUUCGGAAUUACUGGGCGUAAGGCUCGUAGGCGGCCAACUAAGUCAGACGUGAAAUCCCUCGGCUUAACCGGGGAACUGCGUCUGAUACUGGAUGGCUUGAGAUUGGGAGAGGGAUGCGGAAUUCCAGGUGUAGCGGUGAAAUUCGUAGAUAUUGGGAAGAACACCGGUGGCGAAGGCGGCGACCUGGUCCGAGACUGACGCUGAGCGC
This 228-nucleotide ribosomal RNA is filed under the name uncultured bacterium. RNAcentral describes it as "partial 16S ribosomal RNA". It matches the Rfam family "Bacterial small subunit ribosomal RNA", at positions 524 to 754 of the family's 1533-position model. The record is from RNAcentral.